RNAcentral lists this transfer RNA (72 nucleotides) under Lachnospiraceae bacterium. RNAcentral describes it as "tRNA-Asn". It matches the Rfam family "tRNA". Rfam says of the family: Transfer RNA (tRNA) molecules are approximately 80 nucleotides in length. RNAcentral also lists the same sequence under 1 other name. Lineage: Bacteria; Bacillati; Bacillota; Clostridia; Lachnospirales; Lachnospiraceae. The record is from RNAcentral.
UGGCAUAUAGUUCAGUGGUAGAACAUCUGGCUGUUAACCAGAGUGUCGCAAGUUCGAUUCUUGCUAUGCCAG